CAAUAGCGUAUAUUAAAGUUGUUGCGGUUAAAAAGCUCGUAGUUGGAUUUCUGCUGAGAACGACCGGUCCGCCCUUUGGGUGUGUAUCUGGCUCUUUCUUGGCAUCUUCUUGGUGAACGUUGCUGCACUUGACUGUGUGGAGCGCUACCCAGGACUUUUACUUUGAGGAAAUUAGAGUGUUUCAAGCAGGCAUACGCCUUGAAUACAUUAGCAUGGAAUAAUAAGGUAAGACCUCGGUUCUAUUUUGUUGGUUUCUAGAGCUGAGGUAAUGAUUAAUAGGGAUAGUUGGGGGCAUUCGUAUUUAACCGUCAGAGGUGAAAUUCUUGGAUUUGUUAAAGACGGACUACUGCGAAAGCAUUUGCCAAGGAUGUUUNCAUUGA
Molecule: ribosomal RNA, 380 nt
Filed under: uncultured eukaryote
Lineage: Eukaryota
Description: partial 18S ribosomal RNA
Rfam family: Eukaryotic small subunit ribosomal RNA
Source: RNAcentral